UACGUAGAGGGCAAGCGUUGUCCGGAUUCAUUGGGCGUAAAGAGCGUGUAGGCGGCCAGGUAGGUCGGUUGUGAAAACUGGAGGCUCAACCUUCAGAGGUCGAUCGAAACCAUCUGGCUAGAGUCCGGGAGAGGAGAGUGGAAUUCCUGGUGUAGCGGUGAAAUGCGCAGAUAUCAGGAAGAACACCCGUGGCGAAAGCGGCUCUCUGGAACGGUACUGACGCUGAGACGCGAAAGCAUGGGGAGCGAACAGG
Molecule: ribosomal RNA, 253 nt
Filed under: uncultured bacterium
Lineage: Bacteria
Description: partial 16S ribosomal RNA
Rfam family: Bacterial small subunit ribosomal RNA
Source: RNAcentral